UGGACAGUUCAUGGUUUGACAUGAAGCAACAAUUUAUAUUUUAGAACAUAAAAUAUUCCAGGGAUUUCCAGAACACUGCUACACAAUACCAUAUCUAUAUUGUUGUCUGAAGGAACAAGAGGCCAGAGCAUUGCUGAAGUGAAGCAAAUCUUAGUCUGACGUGUUGGCACCAUGGAUUCCAUGAUGAAAGGAACAUGAGACUUCCCUCAACAAAAGCGAGGAAAAGGAUACACACCAAUCACAAACAAAAAGGUCCUUCAGUUCCAGCUCCUCUCCUUUUCUCCGCAUGAAUUGAGGACCAGUUAAUGAAAGAAAAUNCACUUCAUUGUCGUGCUUCUAACCACUGACAGUGAACUGUUA
This 360-nucleotide long non-coding RNA is filed under the name Salvator merianae (Argentine black and white tegu). RNAcentral describes it as "lncRNA (ENSSMRG00000005449.1)". Lineage: Eukaryota; Metazoa; Chordata; Lepidosauria; Squamata; Teiidae. The record is from RNAcentral.